UACGUAGGGUGCGAGCGUUGUCCGGAUUCAUUGGGCGUAAAGAGUUCGUAGGCGGUUUGUUAAGUCUGAUGUUAAAGAUCGGGGCUCAACCCUGGGAGUGCAUUGGAUACUGGCAGACUGGAGUGCAGUAGAGGCGAGUGGAAUUCCCAGUGUAGCGGUGAAAUGCGUAGAUAUUGGGAAGAACACCGGUGGCGCAGGCGACUCGCUGGGCUGUAACUGACGCUGAGGAACGAAAGCUAGGGGAGCAAAUGGG
RNAcentral lists this ribosomal RNA (253 nucleotides) under uncultured bacterium. Its description in RNAcentral is "partial 16S ribosomal RNA". It matches the Rfam family "Bacterial small subunit ribosomal RNA", at positions 524 to 776 of the family's 1533-position model. The record is from RNAcentral.